Molecule: ribosomal RNA, 1116 nt
Filed under: Vibrio sp. 1-1(7)
Lineage: Bacteria; Pseudomonadati; Pseudomonadota; Gammaproteobacteria; Vibrionales; Vibrionaceae
Also listed under: 1 other name
Description: partial 23S ribosomal RNA
Rfam family: Bacterial large subunit ribosomal RNA
Source: RNAcentral
AAGAUGACGUAUACGGUGUGACGCCUGCCCGGUGCCGGAAGGUUAAUUGAUGGGGUUAGUGGUAACACGAAGCUCUUGAUCGAAGCCCCGGUAAACGGCGGCCGUAACUAUAACGGUCCUAAGGUAGCGAAAUUCCUUGUCGGGUAAGUUCCGACCUGCACGAAUGGCGUAAUGAUGGCCACGCUGUCUCCACCCGAGACUCAGUGAAAUUGAAAUCGCUGUGAAGAUGCAGUGUACCCGCGGCUAGACGGAAAGACCCCGUGAACCUUUACUACAGCUUGGCACUGAACAUUGACCCUACAUGUGUAGGAUAGGUGGGAGACUUUGAAGCGCAGUCGCUAGAUUGCGUGGAGUCGACCUUGAAAUACCACCCUUGUAGUGUUGAUGUUCUAACUUAGACCCGUUAUCCGGGUUGAGGACAGUGCCUGGUGGGUAGUUUGACUGGGGCGGUCUCCUCCCAAAGAGUAACGGAGGAGCACGAAGGUGGGCUAAUCACGGUUGGACAUCGUGAGGUUAGUGCAAUGGCAUAAGCCCGCUUAACUGCGAGAAUGACGGUUCGAGCAGGUGCGAAAGCAGGUCAUAGUGAUCCGGUGGUUCUGAAUGGAAGGGCCAUCGCUCAACGGAUAAAAGGUACUCCGGGGAUAACAGGCUGAUACCGCCCAAGAGUUCAUAUCGACGGCGGUGUUUGGCACCUCGAUGUCGGCUCAUCACAUCCUGGGGCUGAAGUCGGUCCCAAGGGUAUGGCUGUUCGCCAUUUAAAGUGGUACGCGAGCUGGGUUUAGAACGUCGUGAGACAGUUCGGUCCCUAUCUGCCGUGGGCGUUGGAGAAUUGAAGGGGGCUGCUCCUAGUACGAGAGGACCGGAGUGGACGAACCUCUGGUGUUCGGGUUGUCACGCCAGUGGCAUUGCCCGGUAGCUAAGUUCGGAAUUGAUAAGCGCUGAAAGCAUCUAAGCGCGAAGCGAGCCCUGAGAUGAGUUCUCCCUGGCAGUUUAACUGUCCUAAAGGGUUGUUCGAGACUAGAACGUUGAUAGGCAGGGUGUGUAAGCGUUGUGAGGCGUUGAGCUAACCUGUACUAAUAGCCCGUGAGGCUUAACCAUACAACACCGAAGAGGUUU